GGGUGCGAUCAUACCAGUACUAAUGCACCGGAUCCCAUCAGAACUUCACAGUUAAGCAUUCUUGGGUGAGAGUAGUACUAGGAUGGGUGACCUCUUGGGAAGUCCUCGUGUUGCACCCC
This 119-nucleotide ribosomal RNA is filed under the name Gossypium arboreum. Lineage: Eukaryota; Viridiplantae; Streptophyta; Magnoliopsida; Malvales; Malvaceae. The record is from RNAcentral.